CUCUUAUUUACAGGUAAUGUAGUACUAAUGUUUGUCAUCAUGCCUGUGUGGUGGUCUGUCUGGCUGUGCAAAUUACAAACAAGUGCGAAAAUGAGAUUUACCAGAGAUUUACCCCGAUGCUGCCAGUGGUUUGCGGCUAUCAAGAAUGAUGCUUACAGUGACCAAAGGUUAUCAAAGCAAUUGAGGAGUGGUAAGAUGGACAGGGAAGGCAGUUAUGGGUGCAUCCCAUAAAAGGGGGCAUGGGCAAUACUACCACCUUGUCCAGGAGCUGCUCUUGGACCAUGCCUGACAUCACUGAUACAUCCGGAUGAGUGCAGAAGAGAUGGAGUCUUUUGUUGGCCCAGACCUCACCAAGCCGACGACCAACUACAGGACCCCAAUAGAGCCAAAGCAAAAACUAGCUGUCACUCUAAGGAGGGGAUUAUCAAUGUGACUGGGAUUCUUGGACCCAGCUCUCUUAAGAAAAUGUACUGAAGCUGUCAUCCCAGCUAUGUGUUGGAGACCUAAGUUCUGGUACUUGGCAUCUGGAGACUUUAUUUGCAGUCUGACCUUGACCUACCGUCUUGGAUUCGAGACAGUAUUGCAGUGCAUUAUGUAGACCUGUGAGGCCAUAGAGAGGAGGACCAUAGCGACCCAUCUGCCACGACCCACUGACGAAACCUGGAGACAAACUUCUCAAGAGUGUAAUGAAAAAUGGGACUUUCCCAAUUGUUUGGGAUUGGUUGAUGGAAAAUAUUAUGAUCACCAAACCACCAAACUCAGGAAGACGGUUUUUUUUUUUAUUAUAAAGGAACCUUCUCCGUGGUGCUACUCGCCCUUGUGGAUGCUAAAUACCACUUCACAGCUAUUGAGGUGGGGGAUUUUGGGAGAAACAGAGACGGCAGAGUAAAUAAAAAAAUUAAAA
This 904-nucleotide long non-coding RNA is filed under the name Salmo salar (Atlantic salmon). RNAcentral's name for it is "lncRNA (ENSSSAG00000102966.1)". The record is from RNAcentral. Lineage: Eukaryota; Metazoa; Chordata; Actinopteri; Salmoniformes; Salmonidae.